Molecule: small nuclear RNA, 164 nt
Filed under: Salmo salar (Atlantic salmon)
Lineage: Eukaryota; Metazoa; Chordata; Actinopteri; Salmoniformes; Salmonidae
Description: U1 spliceosomal RNA
Rfam family: U1 spliceosomal RNA
About the family: U1 is a small nuclear RNA (snRNA) component of the spliceosome (involved in pre-mRNA splicing). Its 5' end forms complementary base pairs with the 5' splice junction, thus defining the 5' donor site of an intron.
Source: Rfam by way of RNAcentral
AUACUUACCUGGCAAGGGAGACACCGUGAUCAAGAAGGCGGUUCACCCAGGGUGAGGCUCAGCCAUUGCACUCCGGCUGUGCUGACCCCUGCGAAUUUCCCAAAUGUGGAAAUCUCGAUUGCAUAAUUUCUGGUAGUGGUGGACUGCAUUCACGCUCUCCCCUG